GAUCCUGGCUCAGGAUGAACGCUGGCGGCGUGCUUAACACAUGCAAGUCGAACGAAGCACUGAAAGAUGGAGAUUCGUCAAAGUCUUCUUUGACUGAGUGGCGAACGGGUGAGUAAUGCGUGAGCAACCUGCCCUUCAGAGGGGGACAACAGUUGGAAACGACUGCUAAUACCGCAUGAUGUGCUUGGGGGACAUCCCCCGAACACCAAAGGAGAAAUCCGCUGAGGGAUGGGCUCACGUCUGAUUAGCUAGUUGGUGAGGUAACGGCCCACCAAGGCGACGAUCAGUAGCCGGACUGAGAGGUUGAACGGCCACAUUGGGACUGAGAUACGGCCCAGACUCCUACGGGAGGCAGCAGUGGGGAAUAUUGGGCAAUGGGCCGAAAGCCUGACCCAGCAACGCCGCGUGAAGGAAGAAGGCCUUCGGGUUGUAAACUUCUUUUAACAGGGACGAAGAAGUGACGGUACCUGUUGAAUAAGCCACGGCUAACUACGUGCCAGCCGCCGC
This 507-nucleotide ribosomal RNA is filed under the name uncultured bacterium. RNAcentral describes it as "bacterial SSU rRNA". It matches the Rfam family "Bacterial small subunit ribosomal RNA", at positions 15 to 518 of the family's 1533-position model. The record is from RNAcentral.